Non-coding RNA from Durio zibethinus, 548 nucleotides. Lineage: Eukaryota; Viridiplantae; Streptophyta; Magnoliopsida; Malvales; Malvaceae. The record is from RefSeq and is a predicted model, not a curated record.
CUAUAAUCUUCCUCGUUUUGCAGGAUUAUAUUGUGGCGAAAGAAGAGAGCAUCCAUCAUGGUCAGAAGAGAAAGAGACCGGAGUUUUCUCCAAACAAGGACUACGAAAGCAAAGAAGAAAGUGAAAAAGCUGAAGGCCUCGACAGCACAGAUGAGAGAUGAGGUGACUGAAUUGACAACACUUGGUGGAAAACCGAUACCAGGCAAUCGUCCAAAUCAGAGAAGCGAUUCAUGCACUUACCUUAACUGCUGAGUCGUCCAAUGCUCAGCUCCUCGAACUCAUUUCUGCUUGGCUUGAUGAAAACCAUGGCGACUGAUCACUUUUCCUACUCUCUGUGGGAUGUUGAGGAGUUAGCAGCUCAGCUGGUAUGAUGGAGCUCCAGAAAGAUUUUUCUUAUGGCUUUAAGCUUCCCAUCUUGGCUUAUUUACUUUUUUCUUAGUGGAAAUAAGGAUCUUUGCUUUGGAACUGGAACUGCUAGGUUAUAGAGUGAAUUGGGUCUGUGGUUUUUCUUCCUUUUAUUAAACUUUUUGUGUGGAACUGGGAGAUGC